AUCUGACCAUAGCUGAAUUGUUUUGAAUGCCAGAGUAAAUAAACUGUUUUCCUCGUUUAUAGUGACACUGCCACCACGCUCACUGACUAACACGUAGUUAUUAUUGCAUACUAGAUGAAGCUGCCAUACUUCUCUCCUCUCUCAAGAUCGAUUGUGACAAGCCCAAAAGAUCAUCAUUAGUUGUGUGUUUUUGCCAUUCACUAGACAAGCGUUGGAAGGGGUCACCGGCACAUUAUUGAUGAAACAACGCCGUCGACGAACAAAUAAAGGACUGUGAGUGGCAGCAACCAUCGUAACGGAGCCUCCCGCAGGUAGCUGUUGGCUGUGAACACCUGCCCGGGGAAGGAAGUAACUUGGUAUGGUGUAUCGGCCGUGGCCAUGACCACCACAUACUUGCAAUGGUCUUUGAUUCCCAGCUAUGGGGCAUCUGUACAUCAGACAUGCUCCAGGGCAGGGGAGUUGUUGAAUAGUAUACCUUAAAUGAGAGCAAGGUUAACUUUGUUAUGAAAAAAAAAAUCUCACAAAUAAAGACCACAGACCUUUAAAGGUACAGAGGUGAAAAAGACACAAAAUAUGCUCUCUGGUAAGUAAAGAAAUAGCAGGAAAUAUUGAGCAUCUUUGUGGGACAAACAACUGAGUAGCAAGUUUAAUAAUCAAACUGAGCAACACAGUUUUAAUACUUACAUAUCGUUAUAAAUAUUGUGGUGUACGAGUAUAUGAAGUAUAAUGCAUAUUUCAUUAAUUUUGCCAUACAUAUAGUAGUUUUACAUGUACCUGUGAUAAAGGAGAGUUUAUUAAGCUUUAAUUUUGUAGACUGCAAUUGCUUCUCCUGUUGUAUGAGUAUUAUGUGAUUCUGAUUUCAGUGUUAUAAGAAAUGCAUAUCCUUCUUUUCCAUUAUUUUGGUUUUCUCAUCCAAACCACACCACUCCUGACAUCUCUUCCCACAUUUGUUAUUUACUUGUGUUCAUGCACUCUAUCACUCCACAACCUUUUUUAUGAGUUUUCAGUACUUGAAAAAUGCUUUGUGUUACUGUUAUUGAGGUGCCAGUCAUGUGACAUCACAGAUCAUGGACCACUACUCCUCCAUCUCAUCAGCCAUCUCCACAACUGCCUUUACACAGUAUUCUCCAUCCAUAACUGUGAAUUUAAUUCUCUGACGUCUUCUCUCUCUUCCCUUUACUCUGUCUAGUAAGCAAUGGCUCUCAAGCCUUUUCUCUCAGCACAUGACCCAGAGAUUUUAAUGGUCUUAUUCUUCUAUAUUUCAUUAAUUGUUUCUGCUUUCCAGUUCUCUGCAACACUUCCUCAUUUUUAAUUGUCAGUUCAUGGAAUUCUCAUGAAAAAUGAUGAGAAAAAUGUCUAGUCUUCCUCUUUUGAAUUUCACAUCUUCCCUUCUGUUCUCCUCAACACUUGUACCAUGUACCAUAGAUGCCACUCACCAAAUUUCACCUCCUUUGCUCAAGCUAGAGCAAGGUCGUACCCAUGGUUAUCCUGUCUUCUACAAUGUCAUCUGGCAAGACUGGUGCAUUGCUGUUCCCAGAAAGGGAAGGGCCCCCAGAAUGUCACUAAGAGGAUUGCAACACUUACAGUUUGUAGUGACAACAGCAUGGUCUGACAAUUAAGGAGUUUGAUCCUCAACCAGUUGUGGCCUCAUGGCCAAAGAUUUAUCCUACCCUCAGAUAUGUAAUUUUCUCAGUUCUUCCAUGAAGUUCCCAAAGGGGGAAUUACAUUAGUAGCAACAGUAAAAAAGCUCAUUUAGUAAUAUAUGUUGUGUAACGGUAGAAGAAAACUCAGUGUUGUCACAUGCCUCAAAAACUCACUUCCUCCAUCUCUCAACAUGACACUAUCAAGCUAUCCUUUCUUCAGUCACACUCAGCUG
Scylla paramamosain (green mud crab) is the source of this 1876-nucleotide long non-coding RNA. RefSeq lists it as uncharacterized. NCBI's taxonomy places the organism in Eukaryota, Metazoa, Arthropoda, Malacostraca, Decapoda, Portunidae. The record is from RefSeq and is a predicted model, not a curated record. The transcript has 3 exons.